AAUUAGUAUGCGUGUGUGUGUCGCAGAUGCGGGAGGCAGGUUCCAGGAAUCAAUGAACUGGGCAUUGUCAGUGUUGGUUUAGGAUAUCAAGAGUCCCGUUGGCAGCUCACUCAACACUUGCACGUGCAUUGCACAAAAGCGGUUGUAAUUGACGGUUUAACUCGAUGGGAUUGAUGGAUGGGCACAGAACCUCCCUAAUCGACAACGAUAUCUGAUUCCUGUCCAGGGGUUCUAGUAUGCAGAUUCGGAAACACCAUCCAACGAGCUCUUUAUCAGGGCGUGGACAGCUCUCGGUUUUUGGUUCGGCACUCGCAGGGGGCGUCGCCUGGCCAGAGUCUUCUCUUCUGUUAUCUUCUCUUGUGUUGUUUUGUGAUUAUGACCCUACUUGGAGAAAGGAUAAACUAAUGCGUGUGUAAUUCACACGUUUUUUUUAAAUUUAUUGAGCAACUAGCAAAGGAAUAUACCAUAGGUACAUAAUCUUUGAAAUUUUAAAAGUAAAGAAUGCUCGAAAGUUUUUUGAAAUAUAUUCUUAGUAAAUACAAAUUUAUAUUUUGAUUUAAAUUGUAUUUUGAUUUAUUGAAUUAUUUUAUGUUAACUAUAAAUAAAUAAGAGUAAAGUUAA
RNAcentral lists this long non-coding RNA (621 nucleotides) under Drosophila guanche. Lineage: Eukaryota; Metazoa; Arthropoda; Insecta; Diptera; Drosophilidae. The record is from RNAcentral.